ACUGGCAGAUCAUAGGAGGAGGUCAAAAUCCCUAGACGCCCUGAUUCCCAAAUCGGGCCUGGCAACACCUCUUCUUCCCCCAUCUCCUUCUCCACCACCGGCCACCACCGCGGCCAGGCUGGCGUGGUGGGGCGCCUUCGCCACCCAUCCAUCUAUCCAUCACUAGCGCCCCUCACCACCAGCGCCCAUCUCGCCUGUCGUACCCGCGCGCCUCCACCUACUACUGAUUCUCCUUGCCGCUCCCUUCGCUUACCUCGCUGUUCUUCUUCUUCCCGACGUCCUCCCUGCUGCCCUUCUGCUUCUCCUCUGCUUUCCCUCUCCUAGCGCAUCAACUUGCUGCUUCUUCUUCUUGCGCCGAGCUACCGCUGCUCCUUCUUCUCCUGUACCUGCUGCUGCUCUUCACCUUCUCUUGCCCCAAACUGCUGCUGCUCUCUCUCCAACGCCCCUGCUGCUCCUCCCUUCUCUCUGAACCUCCCUUCGCUGAUCCUCCCUCUUGCUUCACCCCUGCUGCUCCUCCUCUCAACGUCUUGCUCCUUCCCUUCUCGGAAACCUCAAAACUGCUGCUGCUCCUUCUUUCCAAGCUCCGCUGCUGCUUUUUCCUUGUUGUGCCCUGCUGCACCUCCUCCUCUUAUUCCUUACCUCCUCUGCCGCUGCUCUCUUUAGAUCUCUCUCUCUCUCUCUCUCUCUCUCUCUGAAUUUUCUAUAAGCUAAGAUGUGUAAAACUUUGUAAAAUUCAGAUUUUAAGAGUGUUGGCAAUCUGUAGCUUGUUCUGUUUGGUACUUGUAAUAUAUAAUGCUUGACUAGUAUUACUUUAGGCUGUGAGAAAUAAUUGUCAUUGAAAUCUUGCUCUGUGAUUCAGUAACCUUCUAGUAUUUGUGUGUGUUCACCUUUUGUACUAGUUAACUUUGUAUGUGUUUGAACCCAUCGAAAUAACUAGUCCCUGUAUUACCUAUGUACCUGUGACAUAUAUGCUUGUGAUAUAAACAUUUUCCUGUGACAUAUAUGCUUGUGAUAUAUACCUGAAUUUUCUGUCAUAUGCUUGCUAGAUAUAUAUGUCCAUGUCUUUUGACUUCUCUUGUCAUUGAUGUUAGUAUUUUAAUUUCUCAAGCAUUACGAAAACACCAAAAAGACAAUGAGUAAAAUCUGAAUCUCCCUGUGCUCUUUGCUUUCUCUUUGUCGUCUACUUUGGUUAGUUUAGGUCUAUAUUUCCUCGCAAUCAUCAUCUGAAUUCUGUCACCUAGCUUUAGUCGAGCAUCGUUUGCGUCGCCUAGUCCCUGUGGAGAACACGACACUCGCAGUUUGGCCGAAAAACCCCAAUGUACUCACAAUAGAUCAUUUUGGCGCCGUUGCCGGGGACUAGCGUCGAGUGACUGUGUUAGGCUAUAGACUAGGUUUUUCUUCUUUUGCUAGUUUGUGCCAUAUAUGUGAUAUAUCUCUAACUCCUAACCCUUGUUCCAGUUUAUUUCCUCUUUGUUUUAUUUUACUUUUUUGUAGGUUAGAACCAUUUUCUCGGUUAUGGCUUACUAUUCAGAUCACCAGGCUUAUGCGAGCAACACUACAAACAUCACAGAAAGUAUUCAAGACCUGAUAAGUAAGGUUUCCCAUCAAUUAGAUGAUUUAGCUCGCCAGCGAGAAGUAGUUUUUGAGGAUAGGCCUAGCUCUUACGAUCCUUAUUCUAGAGGCCAUCGUUAUGUUGCUCCUACCUGCCAUAUUUGUGGAUUUCAGGGCCAUUCGCCCACUGAAUGUUAGCGUGGUUACUCUCAUCCUCCAUAUUGUUUUAGCAUGAGCUUCGCUCAGGAGCAUAGCUCAUACCAAAACAAUUACUUACAUGGGUGGCCUAAAAACCCAAAUAUGUCAUAUAGGAGCAACAACCCUGAGAUCUCACUGUUUGCCUCUAGUUAUCCAAUACAGGGAGUUAGGUAUGAAGAGGAGAGCAAUAGCUAUGCACCACAACAAUUUUAUUCACCUCCUACUCAUAUACCUCCACCAGGAGAUGUGUCCAAUGGAGUUAAAUGGUCCUGCACUUGGUUAACCAACAACUCCAGCACAUGUUGAGCAAUCUCAUGCACAAGUGCCCACACAAGAUGACUUUGAUGAUAUAGACAAGCUCACAUUGCUUAGCCUCGAGUUCACUUGGAGUGCUGAAGAUGAUCCAAUUAGGCCGGUGAUACUAGAGGAAAUGAAGAAGAUCAAGAGUGGAAAAGAGCUAGUGGAAGAAGUAAGGAAAAUUGAGAGGAAUAUUAAUGUCGGGUGCACUAUCUCAUCCCUCCUUGAGUUGAGUGUUGCCGGGAUAUCCCUUGAGGUGUGUGAGGUUUCAACACCGUCACAUUCAGCUGAGUAAGAUAGCGAGAGUCCAUAGGAAGAGAUACUUCAGAUCCAAGAAGAAAUACUUGAAGACAAGGAACAAGAUGAUCUAGAGCUGCAAUUCCCAAGUGAUCAAGAUGAAGACAAAAGAUCUACUACUCUUGAAGAAGUAAAAGAAGUUGCUGUAGAUGAACUUGAAGAACCAGAAAUUCAUUUGCCUAUUGUCAUACAAGAGCGUGAUGAGUCAGGUUUAUCUAAUCCUCUUAAUGACAUGUCUCCAUAUGAUUUGUUUGCUACUACCUUGCAUUGCAUUAUGCCAUCACUUAAGGUAGAUUUGAAAAACUAUUUUCUUGGACUUGAUCAUACACACCUUGUUAGUGGCAUUGCUCAUAUCUCUGUUCAUGAUACUUAUGUUCCUGAUGUUAUACCCAUGCUUAAUGAAACGUGUGAUUCUAAUACUAGCAUUGAGCUUACUGAUUUGUACCAUCCUAAACUUGUGCUUUAUAGCUAUGCUUAUGUAAUUGGGUACUCUAUUGAUGAUUUAGAGGGCAUUACUCCUAUCACUCAUAUUAUCUCUUUGGUUGAGUGCCUUUUCAGGUUUUUGCUUGUGCAUGAAACAAUACAUGCUGACCGGGUCCGAGGUGACAUUCCUUGGGACCCCGGUGGACUCGGAGCAUGGUGAUGACGAGAAGCAGGGGGCACACAUGAAGAAGAGUGAAGCUGGAGCAUGCACGAGGAAGCAAAGGACAAGAGUUGCAGCUUAGAGAGUGAUCAAGCGAGUGCUACAUGAUCAAAGCCCGGUGUAUACCAUGUUCUCGGGAUCGGUGGUAUGUUCCUUUGGGGAGGCAAACAAAAAAACUUAUAAUUGGUCGAGCCAGGUGUAUACCAUGUUCUCGGGAUCGGUGGAUCAUGCACUCUUUAGGAACCUUUGGCAUAAUCAACAUUUGAACUUGCUAAUCUUCUUGUAUCAUUGUAAAAGUUUAAAAUGACCGAUUCUACUAGUAUCCUAUUGCUUUGUAACACUCUUAACCAUUGAUUUUCACUAGCUAUGUCCAAAGCAUGCAAUGUUUGGAGAUCCACUUCACUGGUACAUUCUCUAGUCAGCUCACUGUUCACCAUCUAGCUCUUGUCAUUUUCCUUUACUUGAGGACAAGUAAAUAUUUAUGUGUGGGGGAACUUAAAUAUAAGAGAUUGCCGGCUUAGAAACAAAGCCAGGCCGGGUUAAUAAACACCGGAUAUUAUCUUAUCUCAUACUGAUGACUUAUAGUCGAAAGCCAGGCUGGGUUAAUAAACACCGGGUAGUUUCAUGUAUAAAGCAUAAGGCAUCACAGCCCUCAUUGGCUUUUUAACCAUAUAUUACUAUGUCGCAUGAGAAAAACCUCAAAAAUUGUUCAAAUCAAACAACAACGACAAAUCAAGGCUUUCAUAGGCGGUCAGGCCUAAAACGCAAGUGCUUUCACGGGCUGCACAACCACUGUGUUAAACCUUUAUACAAACCUUAUAAGCUAGACCUCACACAACCAAUCUUCGUUUUAACUUUGACAAGUUCAGGGUCUGUAUAGGAUUGACUUGUCAAAAGUACAACAGGUCGUUCCAGGUUUACCUGGGCGGAGUGGGAGACUUAAAAAGGAAGGAUAACCCAGGGUUUUAGGUUAAUACACCUGGCUUUUAAGCCUAUUACAAGGGUUAUAAAAACUCUUGUUCUUUAGAACAGAGAGCUUUAACAGGGAUGCCGGUUUAUUAUAUUGAUCAUAAUAUAUACAUUGUCAAAAAUAUGUACAUCAGAAGAGCCAGUGACUCAAGUAUAGUAAGGCCGAAGAUGAGCAAUGUGCCAUGGCCAGUGGGUCUUCUCCUCUGACUUGCGUGAGUUUUGUGCUCUCGAGCAUCGAUAAGGUAGUAGGACCCAUUGUUGAGAUUCUUACCGAUCACAAAAGGUCCUUCCCAAGGUGGGAUAACUUGUGCAUACCAGUUUGAUCCUGGAUAAGCCGGAGCACCAGAUCACCUUCUUGGAAAGUUCUGGUUUUAACCCGGCGGCUGUAGUAACGACGCAGAUCUUGCUGAUAAAUCGCCGAAUGAGCUGCUGCGAUGUCACGCUCCUCAUUCAAUAGGUCAAGUGCCUCCUGACGUGCUUUUUCAUUGUCAGCUUCAACAUAAGUCGUCACACGAGGCGAGUCAUGACGAAUGUCACUAGGGAGAACCGCCUCUGCACCGUAAACCAUGAAGAAAGGCAUGUAACCCAUAGAUCUAUUGGGGUGGUAUUAAUGCUCCAUAACACGGAAGGUAACUCCUCUACCCAACAACCCGGCGUCCUCUGCAGGGGAACCAUAAGACGGGGCUUGAUCCUCUCAGGAUCUCUUGAUUGGCUCUCUCAGUUUGACCAUUAGAUUGAGGGCGAGCCACUAACGACAUGUCAAGUCGGAUGUGCUCACGUUGACAAAAUUCUUUCAUAGCACCCUUGGACAUAUUAGUGCCAUUAUCAGUUAUGAUACUGUGGGGAAAGCCAAAACGAAAAAUCACCUUUUUGAUGAA
Non-coding RNA from Triticum urartu, 4833 nucleotides. The record is from RefSeq and is a predicted model, not a curated record. Lineage: Eukaryota; Viridiplantae; Streptophyta; Magnoliopsida; Poales; Poaceae.